This is a long non-coding RNA of Monodelphis domestica (gray short-tailed opossum), 528 nucleotides long. RefSeq lists it as uncharacterized. Lineage: Eukaryota; Metazoa; Chordata; Mammalia; Didelphimorphia; Didelphidae. The record is from RefSeq and is a predicted model, not a curated record.
AUAGGACUUUUAAUGAGAUUUGAAGGAAAGCCAUGGAAAGCAAGAGGUGGAAAUGAUUAGAGAGCAUUCCAAGAAUGGGGGACAGAGGAUGAAAAUGCUUAGAGUUAACAAAGCCUGAUGCCUUAUGGGAGAACAAGAACAGGUGAAAGCAGUCCACUAGACGAGACUAGUCCCAGGUGGAGGUAGUAGAGAGAGCAGUAGAGAGACAAGAUGCUGAUUGAACUGGGAGUAGACUGGAGAUUGCUGUGGUUGAUGAAACUAUAUGACCCUGGGUAAAUCGCUUAAUCCUGUUUGCUGGAGAAGAAAAGAAGAAGAAGGAGAGGGAAGAGAAGAAGAAGGAAAAUUAAGAAGAAAGAGAAGGAGAAGGAGGAGGAGGAAGAAAGAAAGAAAAUUGUCUCUUCAACAGAGUUUGAUUUUUUUUACCCAAUAUAUUGGAUCUGUUGGUUAAGAUUCAUUAACAGGACUCUAGGUACUUUCCUCAAAAGAACUGUGCCUGUCAUUAAACCCAGAGUUGUAUCUUGUUCUCAA